AUGAAUUGGACUCCUCCUAUGUCGGCGUUGAUGUUGAAAGGCCUUUCAGAGGUGGCGGCAAGAGGUGCCAAGACUGACAAAGGAUUCAAAGAGGUUGAAAAAUUGAAAGUUGCAAAGCGUAUAUCUUCUUUCGUUGGUUAUGACGUGUCUAUUACGCAAGUGCACAAUCAUAUUCGCAAGUGGAGGAAUAGGUGGACAAGGCUUGUCUAUUUGAAGGCUUUAAGUGGGGCACUUUGGGAUGACGACAAGAAGAUGGUAGUGCUAGAAGAACAACACUAUUUGGGCCACACUCGGGAUCAUCCAGCAGAUGCUGAAUUGCUCAAUUCUCCACUGGAGAACUACGACUAUAUGGAACUUUGCUUUGCUAAUAAGCAUGCCACUGGGAAAUAUGCAAUGGGCCCCGGUGUGCCCCUAGGAACGCCUAUUGUUGUGGAAGACAAGGAUAAACUGAAUGUCAUGGAGGGGGAAGGAACAACGGAUGAGGUAUUGCAACAUCUUCCUGGAUCUAACUUUGUACUUCCUACUGCUAGUGCCACUCAGGACCCUUCUCCUACUUCAAAUAAGAAGAGAAAGAGGGCAUCUGGCUUGACAGAGGAGGACUCAAUCCAGUGUAGCAACAUGACUGAUGCUAUGCGUGAGAUUGCAAGUGCUAUCAACAACACUUGUCAUGUUGAAACACACCCUGACUUGUACAAGGCUGUCAUAGACCUUCUUGUGUUUGAUCAAGAUGAGCACUUGGCAGUUUUAGAUUAUCUCACAGAACAUAAGGCAAAAGCCCUUAACUUUUUGAAGAUGGAUGAUGAAGUUCGAAAAGCAUCGUUCAAGCGAAUCUUG
This 834-nucleotide ribosomal RNA is filed under the name Triticum aestivum (bread wheat). Its description in RNAcentral is "partial small subunit ribosomal RNA". Lineage: Eukaryota; Viridiplantae; Streptophyta; Magnoliopsida; Poales; Poaceae. The record is from RNAcentral.